This is an RNA transcript of Salvelinus fontinalis (brook trout), 4516 nucleotides long. It is a transcript of the gene named disabled homolog 1-like, with no coding region annotated. The transcript is spliced from 18 exons. NCBI's taxonomy places the organism in Eukaryota, Metazoa, Chordata, Actinopteri, Salmoniformes, Salmonidae. The record is from RefSeq and is a predicted model, not a curated record.
GUUCUGAGCUACCCUACAGAGAGAGGUAACUAGGCAACUUCAGCGGCAGCCGAACAGAGGGAAGGAGAGAGAGAGGUAACCACGAAAAAAAGGGGGGCUAGAAUAAAGGGAAAUUUCGCGCGGAAAUAGGAAAUCCUGACACAGUUUUUUAAUUUUUUAUAUCGGGGUAGUGGGAUGUAGGCGGGAUUCAGUCACUAUCCCUGGGAUGGGAGAGUGGAUAACCGCUUCUGAAACCUUGUUUGUGGAUGUUGGGAAUAACAGGGAUGGUUGUGGAUUGUAACCUCGCAGCAGAAUGGGAACUAACAGUAGGCCUACUCAAUCUCGGACCGGCAGUAAGAAGCUCUCUGUAAGUGUGUGUGGGAUGUUGUGUCAGGGCUAGAGCCCCUUCUUCUCCCAUGAGCCUGUGGGCCUACACACACACACGGCGCCCUCACAAACACGCACGCAAUCGACGCUGACGUUGUGAAGUGGACCCUCGUAGCCAGACCGGAGCAGAACCAGAUCAAAGCGGCCGGUGGGCCGGCGGAGCGGAGCCUGAUGAUGUCAACAGAGGCGGAGCUACAGCCAGCUGUCAGGCCCAGCGUCAGGAGAGACUCAAGGAGGAAAGGGCAGGAUCGUAGCGAGGCCGGGUUGAUCAGGCGGUUUAAGGGGGAUGGCGUUCACUACAAGGCCAAACUUAUCGGUCUGGACGAAGUCACCGCUGCACGCGGAGACAAACUCUGUCAAGACUCCAUGAUGAAGCUCAAGGGUAUAGCAGCGGCAGGGCGGUCGAAAGGAGACCACAAACAGAAGGUGUUUCUAACUGUCUCCUUUGGAGGGAUCAAGAUCUUCGAUGAGAAGUCUGGGGUCCUCCAGCACCACCAUGCUGUCCAUGAGAUCUCGUACAUCGCUAAAGACAUCACGGACCACCGAGCCUUUGGCUACGUCUGUGGGAAGGAGGGAAACCACCGCUUUGUAGCUAUCAAGACCGCUCAGUCAGCAGAGCCAGUGAUCCUGGACCUUCGGGACCUGUUCCAGCUCAUCUAUCAGAUCAAACAGAGAGAGGAGAUGGAGAAGAAAGCCCAGAAGGACAAACAGUGUGAACAGGCUGUGUACCAGACUAUUCUGGAGGACGAUUUGGAGGAUCCUGUCUACCAGUACAUUGUGUUUGAGGCGGGACACGAGCCCAUCCGCGACCAUUCAGAAGAGAGCAUUUAUCAGGUUCCGACCAGCCAACAGAAGGAGGGGGUAUAUGACGUCCCCAAGAGACACCCAAAUAUCAACCAAUUAGAGCUUUUCGGAGACAUCUCCACACUCCCGGACAUCUACUCCCCCUCGACCCCUGCCUCUCCAGCCAACACCCUGGACCCGUCUCUGGGCCUGCAGCCCCUCACAGAACUCUUCAACCCCUUCAACCCCGCCUCUGUACCCUCAGGUUAUGUGGCGAUGGGAGCGGUACCUCCAGGUCAGGUGUGGUCGCAGCAGGCUUUUGCUGCCCAGGCAGGUCCUCUGUUUGGGGUCCAGGCCCCCCUGGGUCAUUCCCUCCCUGUAGCCCAGGUCCUGCCUGGAGGCCAGCCUCUCAUCUGGGGCCAGGCCAACCUCUUCCCUGCUACACAGCAGCAGUGGGCCGCCAUGACGGGAGCGGGUAUAUACACACAGACACAAACAUGGUUCCCUGCUACAGCCUACCUCCCAGCCCAGCCAGGAUCUCUGCCUGCCAUGCCUGCCAUGUUCCUCCCUGUCAAUCAACCCUGUGAUAGCCUAUCAUCUGCCAGCGCUGCCUCUAACCCCACCCCCUCAUCAGCCUCAAGUCCACAGCAUGCAGAGAGGCAGCGGCAGAAGAUGAGCAAGGAGAUGUUUAAGGACUUCCAGCUAGUGAAGCCCCCUGCCAUGCCUGCUAAGAUGGGGGACCAGCACCCCUGUCUAGCUGGGACCUCGGAGGCCUUCAGCUCCUAUUUCAGCCAUGCGGGGACUGCCACCGAUACAGACGACUGUGAGGACUUUGACAUCUCUCAGCUCAACCUCACUCCUGUCACCUCCACCACUCCCUCCACUAACUCACCUCCGACACCGGCCCCCAGACAGAGUUCUCCAUCUAAAUCGGCGGCGUCUCACGUUAGUGACCACAUUGACCACAUCAGUGACCCCCCCACAGACGCCACCGACCCCUCCACAGAUGACUCGUUCGGUGAGGUCGAGGGUAGCCCCAGUCGAAGUGGAGAGGAGGACGCGGCGUGUGGGUCUGGGUCUCCUUGUCCCAGUGAGACAGCAGUUUCUAGUCCAGCCCAAAUCAGUCCACCUGCCAACAGCUAGAUAGACGCUGGCUGGGUGCUGGCCUUCCCUUUUUCUUGUCCUCUCACUUAUCCUGUCUGCUGCAUCCUCUGAUGAUAGCAUGGUGAAGGAUCUCUGUCUGCAGGGGAAGGAUCCUCUCUAUGCCCAGAUCAACAAAGGGAGGAAAUAAAGAGACUGAACACUGGACUGACCUACCAACGCUGACCAACCAACCCCAUGUGUGUGUGCACGCACGUUCUCUUUAUCAGCCUUCGCCCCUGCCUUCUUUUUACCUAGUAAUUUCACCUUCCCCUCAUCCUUGUCUUUGCCCUUCACCUUCUUCUCCUUUUCCUUUUUGACGAUGACUCUGGAUGCGAUGCCACCCGGCCCCUGGAGGGAGGAGAGGAGGGAGGUUCAAGCUACACACACCCUCCAGUGUGAGUUGGAGGGUGUGUGUGAUGUGGAGCUGAGGGAAGGAAGGCAGUUUGUAGGGCUGUGAGGAGGAGGCAGGACUUUAGGUUUCUCAGGGAGAGCAGGUUUGGUCCCGGGCUGCUUCAGCAGCAGAACAUCCUCAUCCUGGAACUUUGUCCAGAGAGUCUUCUUCCUAUCAGACAGAGAAAGGAGGGGAGGGGGGAGAGAUGGGUUGGAAACAGGUACCUCAUACCUGAAAAAGACUAAAGGAUAUUAAUAGAAUUUCAAAUCACAGGUUAUCAUUGAGCCCACUCUACAGAUGUAGGAUCACCCUGUUGCAGGAGAACAUUCCUUCAGUGCAGGGCAUUUUAAACUUGUAGUGUAUUUGAGGUUUAAAAAGGCUUCUGAAGUUUGUGAUUUCCACUUUGAAUUUUGACUUGAUUUUUCAUCACGUAAAAUGUUUCAACCCCUACAAAAAUGUCAUUAAUUAUAAUCCACAUAAUAAUUCACAGUCCCUGUUGCUGCAGGAUUACUUUCCUACUGUAGCUAACUGGCUCAAAUUAAGAUCUUACAUCUGUAUCUCUCUCUCUUUUCACAGUCUAAUUCAACAUGAGAUAAAACAAACUAAGUGACCUCAUCAUUAUUUUCAAGGUGGGGUGCACAACCCCCAAAGCAUCUUCCAGAUGCUCUGGCACCAAAACUGCCAAUAGAAACUCAUAGCAGCCUAAUUCCUUUAGGUGAGAGCCUGGGGGCAAUAGAACUAUAGGUCAGGGGCCCUGGGCUCUGUGUGUGUGUGUGUGUGUGUGUGUGUGUGUGUGUGUGUGUGUGUGUGUGUGUGUGUGUGUGUGUGUGUGUGUGUGUGUGUGUGUGUGUGUGUGUGUGUGUGUGUUACUCAUCUCAAGCAGCAGCCUGGCAUCCCCUCUUACAAAGGAUGGAACGCUCCGUCUACCCCCUCUACUCGUCUUUCAUUCUCUCUUUCUCUCCAUCAAACAUUGCUAGAUACUAUGCUGCCAAAGGGUGACUGGGCCAAGCGUCGUCUCCUUUCCCAACACACACACAUCGGUAUCAGACAUGGACAGAAUUAGUGUCUGUAGCAAGUGGAUCCUGGGAUGGACUGGUAUGCUGAGAUCCUUAUUUCUGAUUGGCCGGUUUAUUGGGAUCUUGACAUCUGAUUGACUGUUUGGGUGUUUCGCCUUUAUGUGAGUGUCUGCUGGAUCACUAUGCAGAAACAGACUCUCUGGGAGCUGCUCACACACACAGUGUUUUUCCAAAUGUCUCUUCUCAGAGGGAAUGGGAAGGCUUCAAAGUGAAUGGACACUGAGGCCCGGAUGUUGCCAACCUAACAGGCAUCGCCUGGCAUGAACGAACAUUGCCAAACUAUCGGAUAGUGCCGGACUUUGGAUGUAUGUUGCCAAACUAACUGAUUCUGUGAAUGAAUUGCUCAUUCUCUAUAAUAGCUUUUAUACAAUAUGGAUUAAAACAGACAAACGGAAAUGUUUAUUUUAUAAGUCAAUCAAGCCGCUGGAGUCAGCUCUCCUGGAGUUAUACAGUCACGAGGCUUUAAGAGAGCUGAUUGUCGAUUUGCCAAACUAAUUUUGUAAAUUAUAAUAACAUUGAUCAUUCUGUCCACAGACUUUUGUGCCAUAAAAUAGGCAGGCUUCAGUUAUGCAACCAGAAGGUAUCAAGCAAUACCAACAUGUCUGUCUGUCUAGGUUUCUGUUGCUCUCUCAACCUCUGUUGUUCUGUCUAUGAUCCUAUAAGUGUAUUUCCCUAACACAGCCCUUGUCUAUACUGCAACCCUUUAUUAUCAAUAUCCAUGCUUAUCAACAUCCAUGUUUAUCAACAUCCAUGUUUA